Molecule: non-coding RNA, 72 nt
Organism: Ictidomys tridecemlineatus (thirteen-lined ground squirrel)
Lineage: Eukaryota; Metazoa; Chordata; Mammalia; Rodentia; Sciuridae
Source: Rfam
AGGGAUGUAGCUCAGUGGUAAAAUGCUUGCCUGGUGUGCAAGAGGCCCUGGGUUCAAUCCCCAGCACCAUUA